The sequence is a ribosomal RNA, 484 nucleotides long. It matches the Rfam family "Bacterial small subunit ribosomal RNA", at positions 419 to 915 of the family's 1533-position model.
CGGGUUGUAAACCUCUUUCAGUAGGGAAGAAGCGAAAGUGACGGUACCUGCAGAAGAAGCACCGCCUAACUACGUGCCAGCAGCCGCGGUAAUACGUAGGGUGCGAGCGUUAUCCGGAAUUAUUGGGCGUAAAGAGCUCGUAGGCGGUUUGUCGCGUCUGUCGUGAAAGUCCGGGGCUUAACCCCGGAUCUGCGGUGCGUACGGGCAGACUAGAGUGCAGUAGGGGAGACUGGAAUUCCUGGUGGAGCGGUGGAAUGCGCAGAUAUCAGGAGGAACACCGAUGGCGAAGGCAGGUCUCUGGGCUGUAACUGACGCUGAGGAGCGAAAGCAUGGGGAGCGAACAGGAUUAGAUACCCUGGUAGUCCAUGCCGUAAACGUUGGGCACUAGGUGUGGGGACCAUUCCACGGUUUCCGCGCCGCAGCUAACGCAUUAAGUGCCCCGCCUGGGGAGUACGGCCGCAAGGUAAAACUCAAGGAAUUGACG